AGUCGAGCGAUAGUUAGGGGCAACUCUAAUGAAAGCGGCGGACUGGUGAGAAACGCGUGGGUGACCUACCUUUAGGCUGGGGAUAGCCGUUAGAAAUAGCGGGUAAUACCGAAUAAGUUUCUGCCGCUGUGGCGGCGGAAGGAAAGGAGCUACGGCUCCGCCUGGAGAUGGGCCCGCGUCCCAUUAGCUGGUUGGGGGUGUAAAGGACCACCAAGGCGAAGAUGGGUAGCCGGCCUGAGAGGGUGAACGGCCACACUGGGACUGAGAUACGGCCCAGACUCCUACGGGAGGCAGCAGCUAAGAAUAUUCCACAAUGGACGGAAGUCUGAUGGAGCGACGCCGCGUGGAUGAGGAAGGCCGAAAGGUUGUAAAAUUCUUUUGCGGACGAAGAAUAAUCGGGGUAGGGAAUGACCCUGAGAUGACGUUAGUCUGUGAAUAAGCCCCGGCUAAUUACGUGCCAGCAGCCGCGGUAACACGUAAGGGGCGAGCGUUGUUCGGAAUUAUUGGGCGUAAAGGGCGCGUAGGCGGCCUAGUAAGUCUGAUGUGAAAACCCCGGGCUCAACCCGGGAACUGCAUUGGAAACUGCGAGGCUUGAGUCACGGAGGGGGAAUCGGAAUUCCUGGUGUAGGGGUGAAAUCUGUAGAUAUCAGGAAGAACACCGGUGGCGAAGGCGGAUUUCCAGCCGAUGACUGACGCUGAGGCGCGAAAGUGCGGGGAGCAAACAGGAUUAGAUACCCUGGUAGUCCGCACUAUAAACGAUGCACACUAGGUGUCGGGGCGAGCGUCUCGGUGCCGGAGCGAACGCGAUAAGUGUGCCGCCUGGGGAGUAUGCCCGCAAGGGUGAAACUCAAAGGAAUUGACGGAAUCACUAGU
RNAcentral lists this ribosomal RNA (873 nucleotides) under uncultured bacterium. RNAcentral's name for it is "bacterial SSU rRNA". It matches the Rfam family "Bacterial small subunit ribosomal RNA", at positions 60 to 926 of the family's 1533-position model. The record is from RNAcentral.